RNAcentral lists this long non-coding RNA (1777 nucleotides) under Strongylocentrotus purpuratus (purple sea urchin). Its description in RNAcentral is "uncharacterized LOC115920783". Lineage: Eukaryota; Metazoa; Echinodermata; Echinoidea; Camarodonta; Strongylocentrotidae. The record is from RNAcentral.
UGAUCAACAUUAUAUCACAUUUCUGUGUGGAACCCUGAUGCGGAUGUUAGCUGAGCUUCGCUGAGAAAUCCCUUGAAAUGAUCACUUUCUGAUUCUAUUGCGAGAGACAUUGCUGAACAUUUCAAAAUGUAGUUAAUCAAGGCAUGUAUAGAGCUACUGGGCUGAAUCAACAAGAAUGGACAUUACAUUCGCUGAAUUUACGUGCAAUGACUCCCCUGUCCAAUUGAGGUGAGUAGUCUAAUGUUCAUUUUUUUGAAUAAGAGUUUCUCCAAGGUUCCAUUAAUCAAUUCAUUUAUUUGUUCAUUUAUCUAUUGGUUUAUUUAUUUAUUUAUUUAUUCAUUUUUUGUUUUUUAAUCCACAUCUGAUUUUAUUAAUUUCAUUUCAAUUACUUUUACUUUUUUCUUCAUCAUAUGUGUAGUACUCUGGUUACAAUCGGAGUAGUAAAACUAGCUGUUAAAGCUUGUAUGUACUUGUAUCAUAAAUUUCCUGGUUCAUGUAUAUUAGAACAUGUAGAAACUGAAAGUAAUAUUAUGAGUACUUAUGCCGUGUAGUAGGUUGUGCAGCUACAUGUACUUUUAUUAAUGAUAAAUUAAUAAAUUAUGAAUAUAAAUUUUCACACUGUUUGAAAUGAGGCUUCCUUUGUGUUGAGCUUAAAGGGGAUUCAAACCUUGAUAUCAAACUACUCUAGAGGAAAGCAGAAAAAGCUGUAAUCAUCAUUAAAAGGUAUGGGCUCUUCAAGUUAGCUGAAUCAGUAAUGUCUUUGUGAUGAAGUGGCGGACAACGUUCAAAUUGUUCCAAAUCACAAAAUGUCUGAAUUUAAUUUCCCCCCCAAAUUUAUAACUCAGAAGGGUCAAUUCUCUUUAGAGGACCUAUAAUAAUCUGCUAUCCACAGUAUAUUUUGAGUAGUGCCCAAAAUGAGAUGGCACUAUGGAGAAAAACUAAAAUUAAUGAUAUGUGCAUGGCAAAUAGGGUCUUAAGCCGUGCUCUGUGUGCAACAGGGGCCCAGGCAUUUCCUUUUGUGUAGGAUGGGUUGGCCUGUAACAAAGAAUUCUGUGCACAACAUUGAAAGGAAUCAAUACUCCUGUUAGAGAAAAUUCAUUGAUUUGAGUUUAGAGAGGGAUACUCGAUCAAUGUAAAUUGUUAAGUGUAUUUCAUGACUUAAAGAAUAAAGAAUAAUUGUGUUCAAAGGGUUGUUUUCAGGAAUUUUAGAUUACCUUUAUAUCAAUAUCCGAUGCAGGUAAACACUACUCCCAUUCUGAACUGACUGAACUAAACCUAACCAUAUCUGUUGUACAUGAAGUAUUCUUAGUCCAAAUGGAUGUUAAUUGUUUGGGAUAUCACUUUUGCAAUAAAAGAAUUAAAGAAACUGGUACAAAUAGCUUUAAAACAAAAAGGCUGGUACAUAAAGAAACGCUGGCACUGAAUGUAAAAUACAACAUGUAUGGUGUUGGUCUAAUAAUCAUUAGUCAUGUCAUUGCUUCUAAACGUGUAAUUCAGUUUAUCAGAAUGACAGUUUGAUACAAAAUGAUGUAUGGUAUCAUUAAGCUCACAAUUGAGGAAGUAGAGUUAAUUACUAUCAUAUCCUGAUGGUAUGGUCUUGUAUGAGUGCAAUAAAUCAUACAUGUAACUUUUGAUGAUCAGGGCUUUUUUUUUUUUUUUUUUUACACAUGUGAAUUAAUGUAUAUACUGCUUUUUAUAUUUUGCCAAGCUACUUUAUUACAUGCAUACACAUUUAUGUAAAAUGUACCGGUAAAUAAAUAUAUAGUGCUCUUACAAU